RNAcentral lists this non-coding RNA (21 nucleotides) under Caenorhabditis elegans. The record is from RNAcentral. Lineage: Eukaryota; Metazoa; Nematoda; Chromadorea; Rhabditida; Rhabditidae.
AAAAAUUGGCUAAACAACUGA